Molecule: long non-coding RNA, 153 nt
Organism: Zophobas morio
Lineage: Eukaryota; Metazoa; Arthropoda; Insecta; Coleoptera; Tenebrionidae
Exons: 3
Source: RefSeq, a predicted model, not a curated record
AAUUUUAACUUCCCGGCGCAAAGGACAAAAGUUAAAGAAAACGCAAAAGGAAGAAAUAGUUAAUCUUAAAAAAUCUUCAGAACUCUACCAGUUAAAUAUUUCUGGUUUUAGAAUCCCAGAUUUGACCGAUAAGGCCAUUCUUUCGGCUUUUAA